UACGGAGGGUGCAAGCGUUAUCCGGAAUCACUGGGUUUAAAGGGAGCGCAGGCGGACUGGUAAGUCAGUGGUGAAAGCCCUGGGCUCAACCCGGGAACUGCCGUUGAUACUAUCAGUCUUGAAUAUCGUUGAGGUUUGCGGAAUGGGUCAUGUAGCGGUGAAAUGCAUAGAUAUGACCCGGAACACCUAUUGCGAAGGCAGCAGGCUAAGCGAAGAUUGACGCUGAGGCUCGAAAGCGUGGGGAUCAAACAGG
Molecule: ribosomal RNA, 253 nt
Filed under: uncultured bacterium
Lineage: Bacteria
Description: partial 16S ribosomal RNA
Rfam family: Bacterial small subunit ribosomal RNA
Source: RNAcentral